This 253-nucleotide ribosomal RNA is filed under the name uncultured bacterium. RNAcentral's name for it is "partial 16S ribosomal RNA". It matches the Rfam family "Bacterial small subunit ribosomal RNA", at positions 524 to 776 of the family's 1533-position model. The record is from RNAcentral.
UACGUAGGGUGCGAGCGUUGUCCGGAAUUAUUGGGCGUAAAGAGCUCGUAGGCGGUUUGUCGCGUCGACUGUGAAAACCCGAGGCUUAACCUCGGGCCUGCAGUCGAUACGGGCAGACUAGAGUUCGGUAGGGGAGACUGGAAUUCCUGGUGUAGCGGUGGAAUGCGCAGAUAUCAGGAGGAACACCUAUGGCGAAGGCAGCUCGCUGGGACGGUACUGACGCUGAGGCACGAAGGCCAGGGGAGCAAACGGG